This 1402-nucleotide ribosomal RNA is filed under the name Campylobacter jejuni. RNAcentral describes it as "bacterial SSU rRNA". It matches the Rfam family "Bacterial small subunit ribosomal RNA". Lineage: Bacteria; Pseudomonadati; Campylobacterota; Epsilonproteobacteria; Campylobacterales; Campylobacteraceae. The record is from RNAcentral.
UGCAGUCGAACGAUGAAGCUUCUAGCUUGCUAGAAGUGGAUUAGUGGCGCACGGGUGAGUAAGGUAUAGUUAAUCUGCCCUACACAAGAGGACAACAGUUGGAAACGACUGCUAAUACUCUAUACUCCUGCUUAACACAAGUUGAGUAGGGAAAGUUUUUCGGUGUAGGAUGAGACUAUAUAGUAUCAGCUAGUUGGUAAGGUAAUGGCUUACCAAGGCUAUGACGCUUAACUGGUCUGAGAGGAUGAUCAGUCACACUGGAACUGAGACACGGUCCAGACUCCUACGGGAGGCAGCAGUAGGGAAUAUUGCGCAAUGGGGGAAACCCUGACGCAGCAACGCCGCGUGGAGGAUGACACUUUUCGGAGCGUAAACUCCUUUUCUUAGGGAAGAAUUCUGACGGUACCUAAGGAAUAAGCACCGGCUAACUCCGUGCCAGCAGCCGCGGUAAUACGGAGGGUGCAAGCGUUACUCGGAAUCACUGGGCGUAAAGGGCGCGUAGGCGGAUUAUCAAGUCUCUUGUGAAAUCUAAUGGCUUAACCAUUAAACUGCUUGGGAAACUGAUAGUCUAGAGUGAGGGAGAGGCAGAUGGAAUUGGUGGUGUAGGGGUAAAAUCCGUAGAUAUCACCAAGAAUACCCAUUGCGAAGGCGAUCUGCUGGAACUCAACUGACGCUAAGGCGCGAAAGCGUGGGGAGCAAACAGGAUUAGAUACCCUGGUAGUCCACGCCCUAAACGAUGUACACUAGUUGUUGGGGUGCUAGUCAUCUCAGUAAUGCAGCUAACGCAUUAAGUGUACCGCCUGGGGAGUACGGUCGCAAGAUUAAAACUCAAAGGAAUAGACGGGGACCCGCACAAGCGGUGGAGCAUGUGGUUUAAUUCGAAGAUACGCGAAGAACCUUACCUGGGCUUGAUAUCCUAAGAACCUUUUAGAGAUAAGAGGGUGCUAGCUUGCUAGAACUUAGAGACAGGUGCUGCACGGCUGUCGUCAGCUCGUGUCGUGAGAUGUUGGGUUAAGUCCCGCAACGAGCGCAACCCACGUAUUUAGUUGCUAACGGUUCGGCCGAGCACUCUAAAUAGACUGCCUUCGUAAGGAGGAGGAAGGUGUGGACGACGUCAAGUCAUCAUGGCCCUUAUGCCCAGGGCGACACACGUGCUACAAUGGCAUAUACAAUGAGACGCAAUACCGCGAGGUGGAGCAAAUCUAUAAAAUAUGUCCCAGUUCGGAUUGUUCUCUGCAACUCGAGAGCAUGAAGCCGGAAUCGCUAGUAAUCGUAGAUCAGCCAUGCUACGGUGAAUACGUUCCCGGGUCUUGUACUCACCGCCCGUCACACCAUGGGAGUUGAUUUCACUCGAAGCCGGAAUACUAAACUAGUUACCGUCCACAGUGGAAUCAGCGACUGG